This 243-nucleotide ribosomal RNA is filed under the name uncultured bacterium. Its description in RNAcentral is "partial 16S ribosomal RNA". It matches the Rfam family "Bacterial small subunit ribosomal RNA", at positions 528 to 770 of the family's 1533-position model. The record is from RNAcentral.
UAGGGAGCGAGCGUUGUCCGGAAUUACUGGGUUUAAAGGGAGCGUAGGCGGGAUGCUAAGUCAGUUGUGAAAGUUUGCGGCUCAACCGUAAAAUUGCAGUUGAUACUGGCGUCCUUGAGUGCGGCAGAGGCAGGCGGAAUUCGUGGUGUAGCGGUGAAAUGCUUAGAUAUCACGAAGAACUCCGAUUGCGAAGGCAGCUUGCUGGACCGUAACUGACGCUGAUGCUCGAAAGUGCGGGUAUCA